Molecule: long non-coding RNA, 26987 nt
Filed under: Ananas comosus (pineapple)
Lineage: Eukaryota; Viridiplantae; Streptophyta; Magnoliopsida; Poales; Bromeliaceae
Description: long non-coding RNA (ACOM_LNC029161)
Source: RNAcentral
UCUAAAACUAUGAAGUUACGGUGUACAUUUAAAUGGUUCCGGUGAGGUUGCGGUGGAAUGUAACAUACCGGAUUUUAAGUAUAAAGGUGAAAAUAAAUAAAAAUAGUAUGAGAUACUAUUUUAUUGGGUUUAGGGAAGUGAAAUAUAGAUUGAAAAUGACCUGUACUGAAAUCAGAGCGAAAACAGAAGAUUUAGAAUUUUCUGUAAGAAACGGGGCAAAUAAAUUAGCAGAAAAUGCACAGUGUCAGAAAAUUAUGAAAACUGAAGGAUAUGUCAAAAAUAUUUUUAUGGGGCUAGAUUUAAAGUUUCAUACCAUUCUGACACCCGUAGAGUGAGAAAUAAAAUCCGACAGUCAUCUGAUAAAGAUUACAGUUCGGUACAGUUUUCGGUGACUAAACGGGGUCGAAACUGAAAACGUAAGAUAUAUUCUUACUCAGUACGUUAAACCAAGCCUGCCUGUCAAAUUUGAGCGCAAACGGACGUUCAGAAGGGUUCUAACUGUUCCGAACUGCUAAACUACUGUCCGAGGUGAAUAAUGUAAUUGUUGAGGGACUGAAUUGUAAAAGGGACUUAAUCCCUUCUUCUCCUCCCUCAACCGUGCGUACACAACCUGCACACACACACACACACAACACACGCAUGGAAAGGAAAAGAGAAAACUCUCCCUUUCUCUCUCUAAAUCUCUCCCAAAAUUGAUGAAUUUGGUGGAGAAGCAAGCUUGGAAGCUGAUCUUCAUCUCUUUCACCUUCUUCCUCUCCAUUGGAGCUUGCUUGAGAGGUAAGCUUCAAACCCCUUUAAUGGUAGAUCUUUAGAGCUUUAUUUAGAUGCUCUAGAAAUGGGUUUGAUGGAAUCCUAGGAUGUUAAAUGAGUGUUUAUUGCAUGAUUUAAGUUCCAAUUUGGAGCAUCUUGUAAUAGUAAACACCUAGGGCUCAAAAAUGCUAGUUUGGUAAAUAUGAGGGUUUGAUCUCAUUUGACCCUCUGUAAACAUAAUUGCUAGGUAAACGAACGCGCUGGCGAAGACGGUUCGGCGAUUCGUCGAGCCGGUGCGAAGUUAUUAAAGAAACGAACGUUUAGGCGUCGUUUUCGCCUGGAGGGCCGAGGCGACGUCGUAAAAUCAUGGAAUUGGAUUUGAGGCACCAUAACAAUAAAACGAAGACCCUUUUUGCCCGAGGCUGCGAAGCGAUGCGCGGUUGGUGCGCAAUUGCAAGUUCCGGCAGAACCGAGCACCGGAUGCCGCGGGAGGCCGAUUGCAAGUGUCGACAAGCAAUCGGAAUGUACUAACAGGUGGGUUGUGUUUACCGAAGCGACUAGGUCGCCUUCAUGUCGAAGAAAAAUAUGAUUUCCUAGUUGAUGCAUAUAAUGGGUUGAAUGCUAUAUGAUGCAUAUGAUGUGAAGAUUGGGUAAAUGCAUAUAAUGUGAGAAACGUAUAUUGCAUGAUAAUUACAUAUGAAUAUAAUGCAUGCUAGUUGAUGAUGACAAAUUAAUAUGUUGAAUGUUAGAUGAAAGCAUGAACUAAAUGUUAGAGAGAUGCAUGAACUAAAUAUUAGAGAGAUGCAUGAAAAUGAUAUUGUAUGAAUGCAUAGGCCAUAUUAUGCAAGUUGGAACAUAUGCAUGUUAAUGUAUUUGUGGACUAUGUUGAGUAACAUAUGCUAAUUAACAUAUGCAUGUUGACUUGGGUCUAAAACUCUUGAAUGAUUAGAAAACUCGACAUUAGAAAUACAAAUGUAGUAUUAAUAUCAUGAUAUGGUUUGAAUUCCUACAAUGGGAUGAUAAAUGUGGAUAAGACCUAGGUAAAUGACAACCUAGAGAUUGUGUACAAGUAGAGCAUUGAGAACAUUUACAUGAUGACGAGUGGCAUAUAGUUAAUGUAAACACGAAGACGAGUGGCAUAUAGUUAAUGUAAACACGAAGACGAGUGGCAUAUGAGAACCUUAGUGUAGCUGAAACACUAGAUUGAUGAGUAUAGAAACUUAUUGGUUCUAUGUUGAUGCUAUCCUUAGUUGAUAGGAUGUUCUCAGUUUAUGUGGAUUUGGAUCGAGCUCACCUAGCCUGUCUGCGCCUGGUGUGGUCGCCCCACACAGGUAGUGCACUCCAGAGUUGUCACCCGAGGAGGGUUAACGUAUUUACCCUUGGACUAACGUAUCUGUCCGCAGGUGGUUUCGGGGGUAGUUGAGCCCGGGCUCCUCCCCUAUGAAACUUACUUACGUGAGAUUUGAUGCGAGCCUUGAGUUCGCCGAGAGAUUGGGUAACAAAUUAUGAGCUAUAGUGAUUGUCCUACUUGAGGGGAUUUAAGGCCGAGGUGUAAGUGAGACGUCCUUCGCCUCGAGUCUGGUUUUGUGCGGUACUCUGCAGACGAUUGACUCAAGACCGAGUCGGGCGGUUAGGUUUGUAAAGGUAGAUGAAACUUUAUGACAAAAACGGUAAAGGAUAGUGUCACGCCCCGCGACCAACCGCUAAUUUGGACCGGGUCGCGGCGCCGCUAACAGACCGCCGAACGGAUCGGGGUUUCCCCUGUACGCGGACAGAGUCUCCCCCGUACGUUCUAGGCGUCGCAAUCCAAACAAGAUACAUAAUGCCGAAACCCGAGUAAACUCCGUUAAUAAGGUACAUAGGUGGUCUCUAUACAUAGUACAAAACGUCUCUCAAAAACACAAAAAGAGAGUAACCACCUAGGAGCAAAAGCGAGCUCCGCUAUCUAUCAAGCUAGGCGACUCCCUUGCCGCGAUCCCGUGCCUCCGCCGGUGCCGAAGGCUCUGAAAAAAAAACCACAAAACAGGGGGCGUGAGAACUAUUGAAUAAUAGUUCCCAGUAGGCAAUUACUGGCUUCAGUGAAAUGCACCGCUAGGCCCAAACUAAAAAGGGGUCAGUAAGCAAAUAUAAACAAAAGCGAUAUGUACGACAAGUAAAUAAGCAUGAAUAUUUGCUAUCAUAUGAUAUCUCUACUUAGCAUGAUUUAGCAUAAGUAAGAAAAGCUAUUCUCGCAUGAAUGUACCCAAGCAUCGCUAAUAUGAUGUCCAUAAGUCAAAUAGUAAAGAUGUCAUUGCUUACUAUUCUAGUCAACGUCAACAUGGCAUGAUGAAUGCUCAAAGUCAAAUCUGAAGAGACCCACUCGAAGGCUGUCUAAGGCCCUGAGACCCACCCGUAGGCUGUGUAACAUAUCACAUCCCUCGUAAAUCAUGCCGAGUUUCGUCGAAAUAUGCGCAAUGCGGAGUGGAACAAGUUGGUAUGGGCUAGUAGUGCUUUGGAGCCCAUAUAUAGUGCAAAGGGACCCGAGAGAGUGAAAUUUCAAAAUCUGGCUAAGUCCCAGAUUUUGUGCUCUCGGGGACCGGUUCCUGAAGGAGAGACUGGUCUCCGUACGCGUAGCCUGCCAGGAAUCCUGAGGCAACCGGUCCCUGAGGAACCGGUCCCUAAAGGAGAGACCGGUCCCUCGUUGCGCAGUCAGCCAAAAACCCCGAAAAUUGGCUAAGUCCUGGAAAACAGCCUUUCAAGAACAGGUCCCUGGUCGGGGAGACCGGUCCCCCACUGCGAAAAUUGCCCAGUAAGGGCUGAUGCAGAAAUAGAAAGUUGAGGGGCCUUGUUGCUAUUGUUGCAACAUGUUAUAUACCCUAUACUCUCUCCCUUUCACAGCCAACUCUACCUCUCUUUCUCUCAUUUUUUCUUUUCUCUCUCUAGAGAUCAUCCCCUAGAGCUUGGAGAAGAAGGAGAAGAAGCAAGGAGAAGUGGGUUUUGGAGGCUUUGGUGGAUCUAAGAGCUCUCCUACAAGAAGGAUCUUGGGAGGAGCUUGGGCCAAGGUGAGUUUGAGCAAGUAGAACUCUAGGGUUUGGUUUUAAACCCUAAGAUUUGGAGUUUUGAGUUUGUUUCAAGCUUUAGAAACCUUGUAGAGCUCAAGACACCAUGAAACCAUGGUUUCUUGACGUGCUCCCAUGGUGAACCCCUAGGGUUCAUGCUAGAUGCCAUAGGAAUGUGUAGAAUGGCUUUGUAAAGGUAUUAGAGAGCUUCCUAGGUGAUUCUAAGCAAUCUUUUGCUUAGAAAUGAGAUCAAUUUAGGAGAAAUCUCAUUGUGACAUUGUUAGGGCUCAAAUUUGGGGCUUUUGCCCUAGGAUUUUUCGAGGACAAAUUGACCUCGUAGAAACCUAAUUGGGGGUGUCCUCGACGCAGGGGACAACUCCGUUGGACGUUACGAAAAUAUUUGAGUAUAGUUCCUGUAUAUAGGGUCUAAUAUGGCACUAUUUUGGCUAUAGGACGCGGAUUCGGUGUUUUUAAAGUUCGGGAGUCGACAUAUUCCUCGUCUACCACCACUCGAGGUGGGGGUGCACACCGGAACCAUCGGAUUCUCCUUUAUGUCUAUUUCAAUUUUUAUUGAGCAUAUGGUUGUAUAUUCAUUCAUGCAUAGUAGGGUUAAAUUGUAAGGUACCGGACUUCUAAAACUAUGAAGUUACGGUGUACAUUUAAAUGGUUCCGGUGAGGUUGCGUUGGAAUGUAACAUACCGGAUUUUAAGUCUAAAGGUGAAAAUAAAUAAAAAUAGUAUGAAAUACUAUUUUAUUGGGUUUAGAGAAGUGAAAUAUAGAUUGAAAAUGACCUGUACUGAAAUCGGAGCGAAAACAGAAGAUUUAGAAUUUUCUGUAAGAAACGGGGCAAAUAAAUUAGCAGAAAAUGCACAGUGUCAGAAAAUUAUAAAAACUGAAGGAUAUGUCAAAAAAUAUUUUUAUGAGGUUAGAUUUAAAGUUUCAUAACAUUCUGACACCCGUAGAGUGAGAAAUAAAAUCCGACAGUCAUCUGAUAAAGAUUACAAUUCGGUACAGUUUUCGGUGACUAAACGGGGUCGAAACUGAAAACUUAAGAUAUAUUCUUACUCAGUACAUUAAACCGAGCCUGCCUGUCAAAUUUGAGCGCAAACGGACGUUCAGAAGGGUUCCAACUGUUCCGAACUGCUAAACUGCUGUCCGAGGUGAAUAGUGUAAUUGUUGAGGGACUAAAUCGUAAAAAGGACUUAAUCCCUUCUUCUCCUCCCUCAACCGUGCGUACACAACCUGCACACACACACACACAACACACGUAUGGAAAGGAAAAGAGAAAACUCUCCCUUUCUCUCUCUAAAUCUCUCCCAAAAUUGAUGAAUUUGGUGGAGAAGCAAGCUUGGAAGCUGAUCUUCAUCUCCUUCACCUUCUUCCUCUCCAUUGGAGCUUGCUUCAGAGGUAAGCUUCAAACCCCUCAAUUUUUCACCUCUUACACAGCCCUCACUGGGCAUUCUGCGCGCUAAGGGACCGGUCUCCCCGACCUGGGACCGGUCCCCGGGGCCUCCCCCCGCGGACACGCGUUCGGGAACCGGUCCCUCCCCGAGAGACCGGUUCCCGGGAGACCGGUUCCUCUCAGAGAGACCGGUUCCCGAGAGCUGAACCUUUGGGACUUAGCCGAUUUUCGGCUCUUCUCACUGGUGUUGCAGGCUGGGACCGGUCCCUCCUCUGCCAGGGACCGGUUGCAUCAGCAACCCUACAGCCUUCAGUUGAUGGGACUGGUCUCUCACCUCGAGAGACUGGUCCCCGAGAGCAAUCCCAGCCCAAAAUGCAGAUUGCAUUAUUUGCUCUCGCGGACUCCAUUCCAAUGCACUUCUCGGUUUUCGUGCAUCCUUAGGUUUUCCAAAGCUUAUCCAUUCGACCCUUAGUCGAUUCUAGACGAGGUGCAACCCUUGGAUUUCGAGAGUUUACAUCGUUACAUUCUCCCCUCCUUAAAAGAGUUUCGUCCUCGAAACUCACUCAUUCUCACCCUCUUUUAUUCCUCGGUCCACUCCUCGAGUACUCAAGGGUUCCAAUGCACUUUUGUACUUUGGAGUGGCCUUUAUUCUCAUCGAACUCAUCUAAAGGCCCACGACGAAGAAUGUGAGACCACGUUUACUCACAUUUUCCUCUUGCAACAUUAAAAGUGCAUUAUCACUCUGCAAACCUCAAUGGCGGUGUGAGUCAAUACUUAAGACCCCACACGCUAACAUCACUAGCCACUCGGCUAGAGAAGGACCUAUUCCCUCGCGGUUCUAGCGAACAUCAUCACCGUUCGAGAUCAGGGCUACCCUUUCAUCCCUGUCACGCCCCGGGACCCGGCCUAGGCCCGCCCGGUGCGUAUCCAGACCCGCCAUAUGCCUACACAUAUAAGGCGUCUACAACAAUAGCGAAUAAAUGAACAACAAAUAGAGUGUAUCUAAAGAUAUCAGAGCAAGUAUACAGCUAAGUUCUUAAGCUUGUUGAACAAUCAGGUGGGAGAAUACAAGGAAAAACUUCAAUUAACCAUACCUAUAGUCGGCAAAACGAGGGUGUGUUUAAAAUAAAAUACUAUCGACAAGUCUAAGCUACAUAUAAGGGGGGUCUCUACAAAAAUGGUACAAGUCUCAAUCCUGCUCCAAACUAUCAAUCGCUGAAUAGGAGAGGUUACCUACCAUCGAGCUCGUAAUAUCCUCGCCUAGCUAACUCGGUGAAAAAGAAUGACCGUUUGCACGAGAUCGCCAUUCUCUCCAUAUUUCCUGCCCCGUCUGGUUGGAUCCCGAGCCAUCUUCUGCCUCUGGGUGAAAAUGGGAGAGGCUGAUCUGAAAUGGAAAACGAGUGGAACAAUCAGUGGAGGGCCUGGGAGCAACUAUAAUUUAUAGUUCCAGGGGUGGGGACAAUGUAAUCUGUAGCAUUAGCUAAAAUGCGAAUCCACUAGGGCACUAGAUCAAGAGGACAACCAGUGAGCAGAUAUAGAAAAAUUGAAAUACAAACUGCCAGAAAUAAAAGCACAUAUUAAAGAAAAUGGUCUAUACUGCGAUGCCACAAGUAUUAUGUGAUAAGAACAUGGUUAGCUUACUUUACUUCUAUCAUCCAUAUACGCAAUACAUACAUACUAUGUUCUAUCACGGCUAACCAAAGUAUGCUAUGAUGCAACAAGUAACAAUAGUUAGUCAUCGGUUCCUUCCUUGAUGCUUUAUACAUGUCCAAAUGUGUCAAUACUAUUGCUUGAAAAGUGCAUGUCUCAAGUAAACAACUACUAAGCCUAUCUAGUAGUGGUUAUUGUUAUAAAGUUAAUGUCAUUGUUCAAUCUUGUUUAGGACUACAGAAGUGUAGUCACGGUUGUGCCGCCUAGCUGCCUGUGGUAGCCACUCAUUCCACGCUAUGAAAGAGCUGUCCCGACAACGACCCUAAGGCGCCUGCGCCUAGCUGGCCCGUUUGGUUAGAUCGCUCNNNNNNNNNNNNNNNNNNNNNNNNNNNNNNNNNNNNNNNNNNNNNNNNNNNNNNNNNNNNNNNNNNNNNNNNNNNNNNNNNNNNNNNNNNNNNNNNNNNNAUUCUAAGCUUAGGAUCCACAGCUAUCCCAGUUUCAGAAUCACAUGGCCUAGAAAUGCCACUUCUCGAAGCCAAAAUUCGCAUUUCUUUAACUUUGCAAACAGUUUCUUUUCUCGAAGUACUUGUAACACCGCUCUCAAAUGGUCUUCAUGUUCCAUGUCACUACGAGAAUAUAUCAAGAUGUCAUCAAUAAACACUACGACAAAUCUGUCCAAAUAGGGCUUAAAGACACGGUUCAUUAAAUCCAUAAAAGCUGCUGGGGCAUUAGUCAAUCCAAACAGCAUGACUGUAAAUUCAUAAUGCCCAUACCGUGUUCUAAAGGCGGUUUUAGAAACAUCUUCAGGCUUGAUCUUGAGCUGAUGAUAGCCUGAUUGCAAAUCAAUUUUGGAGUACACUUUCGAUCCUUGCAGCUGAUCGAAUAAGUCAUCAAUUCUAGGCAAUGGAUAUUUAUUCUUGAUUGUGACUUUGUUGAUUUCUCGAUAGUCCACGCACAAUCGAAGAGAUCCAUCAUUCUUCUUAACAAACAAUACCGGUGCUCCCCAGGGCGACACACUUGGUCGAAUAAAUCCUUUAUCUAGAAGAUCUUGUAACUGUGCCUUCAGCUCUUUCAAUUCAGCGGGUGCCAUCCUAUAGGGCGCUUUAGAAAUAGGGGUAGUCCCAGGGACAAGAUCUAUCACAAACUCAACCUCCCUAUCAGGUAGCAUGCCCGGCAAUUCAGCUGGAAACACAUCCCCGAAUUCUCGCACAACCGGGAUAUCAUCAAUCUUGACGGCUUCUCCGUCACUCACAGAAAUGCUAGCCAAAUAGGCUACACAUCCUCUUCGUAUCAACUGUCGUGCUCGCAAAGAGCUAAUGGUCAUUGCGAACAAUGAACUCUGACACCCCUUAUAAACAAACUCUUGCUGACCCGGUUCUCUAAAGGUUACCGUUCUGUUCGUGCAAUCUAUGGUGGCAUAAUACUGUGUCAACCAAUCCAUACCCAAUACUACAUCAAACUCACCUAGUUUGUGUAGUGCCAAUAAAUCCACUGGCAUAAUCCAGUCGCCUACCCUAACUGGGCAGCGAGGGCAAAACUCACGAACAUCUAGGGUAUGGUCAGGUACAAUCACUCGUCCCAGAUGCAAAGUAGGUGCUAAAGGAAUGCUAUGCAACUCGGCGAACUGCCGAUCAAUAAAAGAAUGCGAAGCACCAGUAUCAAAUAAUGCACGAACACGAAUAUCAUAAAGCAUAAUAAUACCUGCUACGACCUCCUGUGCUGCUGCGGCGCCCUCGGUCUGGGCGGCAUACAUCCGCCCACUCGAACCCUGCUGCGAACUCUCCGACUGCCGCUGUCCUGGUGGUCGCCUAGACUGAUAAGGCGCUGUCGGGGUCCCCUGGCUCGGAGCUGAAGAUGCAGGUGCAGUCGCUGACGAGGGUGCAGGCAAAGAACCUCUCGGGCACUCUGAACGAAAGUGGCCCUCCUGGCCGCAAAGAAAGCACCUGCCCCCACGCUGUGGACACUGUGGCGGUACGUGAGGCCCACCACAGAUAACACAACGCGGCGGUCGACGACGCUCGGGUGCUCCACGGGGUGCUGAAGAACCUCGACCCCUCGACUGUCCUGACUGUCCCCUCGGAUACUUUGGCGGUCUCCUGAAGGACUGCUGACCACUGCUCUCAGCUGCUGGUCUCUUGCCUUUGCUUCGAUCCACAACAUCUCUUUCCUUCAUGAUUUCUGCCCCCUUCUCAACAAUCAAAGCCCGGUUCACGACGUCCCGGUAAGUGGAGAGGUUUGACGCCUGGACCAAUCUGAAGAUCGCAGGUCGCAAACCCACCUCAAAAAUGCGAGCCUUGUCCUCAUCAUCUCGAACUACAAAAGGAACACAGUGCAGUAAUCGGGAGAACUCUCGCUCAUACUCUGCCACUGUCCUGUCCCCCUGCCUCAGGUUUCUCAGAUCCCUUUCCAUCUGUCUCUUUACACUCUGAGGAAAGUAAGUAGUCAACAACAGUUCCUUGAACCUGUUCCACGUAAUAGCAGACAAAUCAGCACGGGGAUCCUCCCGGAUGUCCACCCACCACCUGUAAGCCUCGCCAUCAAGGUGGUGUGUCGCAAACCAAACUCGGUACCGCUCCUCAACAAAAGUGUCAUAGAAUAGUUUCUCCAUAUGCAUUAACCAUUUUUCAACCACCCAAUGAUCUGCUUUCUCCCCAUCAAAGACACGAGGGUUGCAGCGACGGAAUUCAUUCAGUCGUUCCAUCAUCCGCUCUCGCUCCUCAACCCCCACCAUCUCGGGUAACACUGUCCCAGCUGCUGCUACAGGUACUGGUGGUGGUACUACUGUCUCCUGUCGGGUCUCUGCCCUCGGAGCUACUGGGGGUGUGUCAAGUACAGGUGACUGUGCUCUCACUGUGGUGCCCCUCUCUGGUGCUGUAGGUACAGAAUCUGGAAGUACAGAAUCUGGAAUCUCUCUGUCAGUCGUCUGCCGCAGUAACAGAUCCUCUAACCUCUUCAUCCUGUCCUCCUGUCGACGCGCAGCAUCCAUCUGCUGUCGUGCUGCCGCAGCCUGCUGAGUAACCAAAUCUGUCAACAUCGCAAGCUGAUCCUGCAACUCAUGGAUCCCACUAGAUCCCGACGUAACAGAAGUUCCCACUUCCUCUGCAUCCGCCGCCUCAGCUGCCCCGGCGGCUUGCGAACGAGUCAACGGCAUCUUAAACUGCAGCACAAAAAUAAACAUAGGUAAAUAAACCCUAUACUAUUGAAUCCUCAUUGAGGAUAUAAACCAGCUAAUCAAGCGAAAGUAAUGAAAUGUAACACGUACUAACUUCCGAGGUCACGUUGUCGGCCGCCAACGUGACCCUCUGCAAAGUGAGUACUUGCACAUCCCAAUCAAACUCCCACCAAAUGGAGUUUAUAAGUACCCAAUCAAAGCACUUUCGCUAACAACAACCUAGACUAGACAUCGUCUCUUACGUGCCUAUUCUUAUAGUCCAACCAGCCUAAGGUUUGCUAGGUCUACUAAGACUCAACCCUAGGCUCUGAUACUACUAUAAUCUGUCACGCCCAGGUACCAGCGGAAGCAUAUCCGGCACGUGCACAGACCCGCCAUACACCUGCAGUAUAUAAGGCGUCUACAAAGAAAGCAAGUUGAUAGGGAGUACAACAAAGAGAGUCCUAUCCUGAUAUCAGAGCAAUGUACAAGUCGAUAUACUAUCAGUAAAAGAACAAAGAGUACAUAAACCAAAGUCUCAGCAAAAGGAGAAAAAAGCAAAAACUAUAACAUCUGGAUCUACAACCUAUAUACAAUAUAGGGUAUACAAAUAUAUCUGUACAAAGGUAGUCACUCUAUAUAAUGGACAUCACCCUCGGCCGUAGCCCGAGUAGCAAGGUGAUCGACUAGCAUGCUCCUAGCAAAGUCUAGCUAGACGCGACUCCCUUGCCACGAUCCCUAGCCUCUCCUGUAGAUGGCUCUGUAAAAACAACCACCAAAAGGGCGUGAGAACUAUUAACAAUAGUUCCCAGUGGGUAAGCCGCCAGCCUCAGCGAAUUACACCACUAGGCUCAUGAUGUACUGAAAUAAAGAAAAGCAGUAACUGCAUGAUAUAUAAGUAUGCAAUGCUAACAGGUAGUGAGCAUCUAAUAUGCAUGUAAACAACUUGUAAUAAUAUGUAAUAGCUUUCUACAGUAAUGAAUCAUUUGCAUAAUAGGGAUAUGGCAAUCUCUGUAAUCAUGAACAUAGACGUGAAUAUGAGCACGAACAUGUAAGUGACUACUGUACACUUUAAUUAAUAAGCAUUCAUUACUGUCCUUUUUCAUUGAGUACUAUCCUUUCAUUCACAGGGACCUACCCAAGGUAGUCCAGCUUGCGCCGCGCCUAAUGGUCCCGUGGUAGUAUACACUCCCCACGGCAAUCCACUUCGGCACCCAAUCCCGCACGGGCGAGUAACUGUCGCGUAGGCCAACUCCGGAGUGCCGGCUUGUAGGGAGCUACCCUCACAAGCGUGUGUGAAUGAGCACGAUGGCAAGCAAGCAAAGUCCAUUGUCCACAUGUCCCAAUUUUCAUAUUUUCAUUGCAAAGUUCUUACUCUCGAUCCUCUGAUCGGAAUUUCAAUACACGAAUAGUAACAAGAGCUAGUAUCCACUAGAUUGUAAACAUGUAAAGGUAAAGCUAAAUCACAUGGCAUGAUAAUCUUUCCACUAGUAUGGCACUAUCAACAUAGUCAUGAGCAUGUCAUAGUUCUCUACGAUAGAGUCAAGAGAAUGUCAUUGUUCUCUACCUUAUAAGUGCAUUCUACACUUGUUCAUAAGUCAUUCAACUGAAUUGACUACAAAUAUAAAUACUUUCAUGUGUAAGUGUUCUCUACUUUGUAGAGACUUUAUUUCAAUUAUGUUCAACAUUAUGAUGACGAAUGUCAAGCCCCUUAUUAAUCACAUAAACACACAAGAAGACCAUUUCUAUAAUACAUAUAGAACAUAGGGGAAUUUCACUUGCUCUGGUUAGGUCCGACCCACCUAGUACUAGGCUCCAAAUCAACCAAGGAGUCCCAAAAAAUCAGAUCCACUAGGUCUCAACCCUGCUGAACACAAACAUCAACACCGCGUCAAAAGAACGACCGAAAAAUCCGAUUUCUGCCUAAAUUACACGUAAUACAAAGUAAUCCCUUAAAUCCCUGUUUUGGGACUAGUGUUAUACCUCAAGAUAAGUCUUCAAGAGCUCUCACAGGUCAACUAACGAUGAUCCAAGGCUCGAUCGCACUCUCGCUGCGAACAAAAUCAAAACAACAUCAAACUCGUCAUAUAUUAGCAAUUAUAGUCGGAAUCUUGCAAUUUCAACUUCCUAACUGAAAUUCUUACUUACCUUAGGGUAGAACAACUUCCAGACCAGCUUCAACGAGUACAAAUUCAGCUCAACGAAGCCCGAAGACCUGCUGCGAAGAAAUAAUCCCCAGUUGCAUCAAGUCGCUCCAAUAAUUGCAUUAAGUUCCGAUUUAGCUUCAUAAAUGGCUAAUUCUCUCAAUUAACCUUCAAAGAAGCUUAUCCCUAGUCUAAGGAGCUUAAUUCACAGCUAAAUAAUCCAACUUUAAUUGCUGAAAUCUCAGAGUAAAGCAACUAGAAGCAAUAACGCAAAAGCAACACAUAAACGACUACUCGAACGUUGAUAAUGGAGAAAAUCGAGUCGUUUACCUCUUCAAGCUUCCAACCAGCACCUCGCUGGUCCAGAGUUGCAAAGAACCUUCCAAAAUACUCUCUCACGCGUCCACGAAAGCUCUGCGACGCUCGCAAACAGCGAAGAACAAGCGCGGCGACGAAAACGAGCGAAAUCGUCGAAUUCUAUAUAGAGAGAGAAAAACCCUAGAGAGAGAAAGAGGAGAAGGUGAAGAAACCCUUUGCUGAGCUCUAGCACACUCCACUGAAGUCCCAGAGUCGUGCUGGGAUCAAAUAGAUAGGUAUCCAAUGUGAAAAGACCAAAAUAGCCUUGCUGCCAGAUUUCUGCCAGUCUGUACCGGUACAAGGUGAUGGCUGUACCGGUACAACAAGCAGAAAAAGGCUGAUUUCGCCUGUUUGAUGCAAUUUCUCACUUUUAGCCUUCCAAUCAUCCUCUAACUUAUCCAAAAACUUGUUCUAACCUUUUAGAACAUGUAGGAUUGAUCCACACACCAUUCCACAUACUCGAACUCCGCAAUUUGCAAAAGUCCAGUAUAUUACACAACCUCUACGGUCAACCUCGUAAAGGAGGUACCUACCUAUAAGGUCAAAUCAUAUAGGGCUGAUUCAGCUGACUUAUAAGGUCAAAACCCAACAGAUAAGUAACUACCAAUCUACUAUAUCAUAUCAUCAUCAGAUGCACUAGAAUGAAUGUAAUACACUGAACUUUAGCAAAUUGCGAGGUUCUAAUGUUCGAAUAGUAUUUGGCACUAUUUUGGGUAUGUUGGAGGGUCAUAGACUGUGUUCCGACCUGUUUACUCACAUCUUGAGAAGCAAGGAUGAGUACUUAGCACCAAAGCCUCCAAACUGCAGGUUUUGGGGUGUUGGGUACCGGUACCAGAGAGGGGUACCGGAACAACGUCGCGCAACAGAGAGAUGUGCUCUCGGGUUUGAGCUCUGCGAGGUAGAGUACCGGUACUACAUCACUCGAGUAUCGGUACUGGGGCUUGGUACCGGUACUACAUCGCGUGGGUACCGGUACCCUGCGUGUUGUUCGCUUGACAGAGGCUCAGGUUUGCACGUUCGGCUGCGGGGUACCGGUACUCCAGCCCGCGUACCGGUAUGUAGUGCAGUCCACAGGCUACAUGUUUUUUAGGGUCCUUUUUGGAAUUGUAGCAACACUUUAUAUAACCCCACACCUCUUGAGUGGCUUUUUUGUGCUGGAACUAGAGCAGAAGAGAGGUGAGUCUCCCCCUUCACCUCUCUCUGAUUUCUUCUCUUUUUUUGUGAGAUUUCAUGGGUUGACCUCUCCUUUUUGCUUCUUUUUGCUUCUUUUUGCUUGGUGAUGGUUCUUCUACCUUGGAGAAGCUUUGGAUUGAGGAUUGGAGCUUGUUUGAGGAAGGAUCUCCAACCCUAGCACCUUUUAGCUUGGUUUGGAGCUUGGGAAAAAGGUUAGUAACCUUUCUACUACAGUUGAUUGUGGUCUAUGCUUGGGUUUUGGAAGAAAACCUAGUUUUGAAAAAAUUAGGUUUUUAUUUCGGGGUUUUUGAUUUGUAACCUUUGGGGUGAAUUUGAUGAGUAUAGAACUAUCUUUUAGGUUGGAUUAGAAGCAUCCUAGCCUUCAUUUGGAUUUUGGAAGAGUUUUCUACCAUCUAAGGUAAUUUUCUAUCUAUUUAUGGGUUGGAUUAUGAGAAAUUUUUGGGUGUUCGUUUGAAGCUCCUAACCCUCUUGAAAUUUUUGUUAGGGAACUAAGAGACUUGUGGACAACUCCGUUCGCGCAAAUAAAGGGGGUUGUGAGGGGUAUUCGGUGGGUUUGACCUCACCGAAAUCGGUGAACUCCUCCUAUGUUAUAUUUUGUGGUUUAAAAUGGAAAAUCAUGCAUAUUCAUGCUAGAUAGGGCAUAAAUGAAUUUUUGAAUGUCUAAAAUACAUAUGUCAUGUAUCAUGUUUUGUAACCUCUACGUAGUAGAGAGAGAAAUGUAUCGUAAGUUGCAUGUGAGGUGGCAUUGUUAUACUAUGUUGGGAAUCAUGAUUUGUUUAGUAAAAUGACAAGCUUUUACAUGCUUAUGAACAAAGAACAUAUGCUAGACAUAGAGAACAUUAAUGUUAUAGAGUGGCAUUCGACUUAGUAAACGGUUAAAUCUUUAUACUGUGACAUAGAGUUAUACCUUUGGGUUGCUAGUACUUGUACCAUAUUUUAGACAUGACGAUUGUGGAAUUGAGAUGGAUGAUUAUACUUGCUUGCCAUUGUGCUUAUUCGCACAUACUUUUGAGGGUUGCUCCCCACAAGCCAGCACUCUGGAGUUGGCCUACGCGACAUAUGCUCGUCCAUGCGGGAUUGGGUGCCUACUGGGUCGCCGUAGGAUAGUCACAUUCUUAGAGGGAAAUGCUGGACUAUCAGGGGCCAUUAAGCAACACAAGCCGGACUACGCUUGUGUAGAUCCCUAAUUGGCUCAUGAUUGGUAACAAUGUCGUUGAUUUUUCAAUUUCCAAAACGAUCAAUUUUAGCUUUGCAUUUAAUUUGUUUCUCAGGUGGUAAUAACUAGCAUGCAAAUUGCAAACAAGCUUCUUCUAAUUGGCAGUUAUCAGAAAAUAAAGGUACAAUUUAAUUUUCAUUGUUAUGUUGCUUUUUUUAAGACAUUUCGGUGCAUUAUAAAUAGAGGUUUGUACCGCAUUAGCAAAUUAGUUCUGUAUUUGAGAUCAGGGUUCUAUGUUGAUCAACGAAAGCUUAAAAUUAUUCUUCUCCAUAAAGUUGAUUGCAUUCAACUUACUAUGACAUCACAUCGCUUGAUCAUUGUAACUUUAACACUGGUCAUGUCUAGGUAACAACAAGCUCUCUUUAUUUUGUUGUUUGGAUCUACUAAUUUACUACUUUUGAUAUGAUCUUCUUUGGUGAUGUAAUAGUUCCUGACAACCAAAUGCCAAAAUUAUAGCUGAUAUUGAGGAUUUUCUAUUUUUUUUUUAAAUUACAUUUCUUCAGUUUCAGAUGGCACUACAACAUUUUGUAUUAAAGGUGGCUUUUAUCGGUACCUAUAGCGGCUUUUAGAAAAGCCGCAACAAAAGUACCGAUUUUUCUGAAAAAGCCACAAAAAAAGCCAGUGAAAACUAAGUCGGUAUAGGUCUAUGUCAAUAUAACGGCAUAUUGCGAAAGCCGCAUUUUAGUGCCUAUAGUGGCUUUUUGAAAGCCACUAUCAGCAUUCAAACUAUUGUACUAUUUUAGCCGUCUUUGAUUAUCUAUAGUGGCUUUUUGCCAAAAUACUGCAAUUUCUACAGUUUUUAAGAGCUACGGCAAUUGAAAAGCCGCCUUUUAUUAGUAUAGCGGUAUUUGGUGUGCCACAAUGCGAUAGUUUUUGUGGCUUUUCAAUGCUGUUAAUAAAAUUAUGUUGUGGCUUUUUGGAAGCUGUUAAUAUGCAUAUACAAUGACUUUUUAUAAAGCUACUAUUGAUCGAAAUAUAUGGACUUUUGAAUAUGUAUAUUAGCUAGGAAUAGUUGUAUGAAAGAUACAAUACAAAAAUGAUAUAUUCAUAGCAAAAAAGUUGUUUUAUUUAUAUAUAAGUCAAGAGUAUCGAAUGAAACCAAAAUACUAAUUGUUUCUUACAUACUCAACAUUAAUAAAAUGAUAAAAAAUUAUAAUAUCAAAAAAUAGUUUUUUAGAAAUGACACAGUUGCUCAAAACAUAAAAUGAUGCUAUGAAUAUAUCAUUUUUGUAUUGUNCUUACAUCCUCAACAUUAAUAAAAUGAUAAAAAAUUAUAAUAUCAAAAAAUAGUUUUUUAGAAAUGACACAGUUGCUCAAAACAUAAAAUGAUGCUAAAGGUCAUAGUAGGUCCAAAUACAAAAGAAAUGAUCAAGUAUCACUGGAAGGAUUUGAUAAUACUGACGUAUAGCAAGUGCCUGAAGACUCAAGAUUCUGUAACAAAAAUAAAAACUUCUUUCAAUAAAAUAAGAAUAUAGUUAAUAAUUAAAAUAUAAUGAUAAAAUCGAUAAAAUUAUCUAGAUAAAGUCAUUUUUCCUACCUGUCGACUGCCACCAAGGUUACAAUCUGGCAUUUUUUGUCUUAUAAAUUCCAUAACGUCAGCUAAUUGUGACUGCAGUUGGGAAACCAUUUUUUUACUCUCUUGCACUUCCUCUCUUAACUUUUGUACUUCUUCCGUUGAUUCCAAGUUAUAACACACACAAUGUUCAGAUGGGAUCAAUCCUAGCCCUCUUACUCGGCUGUCAUACUCUGUCACGCCCCGGGACCCAGCGGAAGCCCGCCCGGCGCGUGCCCAGACCUGCCAUACGUCUAAAACGUAUAAGGCGUCUAGAAACAACAAUAAUAAAAGCAAUAAUAAAAGACAUCUAGGAGUAUCAGAGCAAUAUAAAUGUCUAAAAGCUACAAUAAGGGUAAGGAUAAAACUGUAAAUCCACUAAAUAAAACAUAAAGUAAGUACAAAAGAAAAUCCCAAAUACAAGUGCUAAAAGUAGGUACAUAGGUGGUCUCUAUACAUGAAUACAAAAAUCUCUCUCUCUCUCAACUACAAAAAGAAAGAGUAAACCACCUAGGCAAAGUACCGCUGCUAGCUAGCUAAGCGAUCCCCUUGCCGCGAUCCCGUGCCUCCGCCGGUGCCGAAGGCUCUGAAAAGUGAACCAUAAAACAGGGGCGUGAGAACUAUUAAAAAUAGUUCCCAGUGGGCAAUUACUGACUUCAGUGAACUGCGCCACAAGGCCCAAAAGCUACAAGAAAAGGUCAGUGACUAACAAUGUAAUAAUUAAACGGUAAGUGAAAUAUAACCUACUAUAACAUAGAGUCUCCACUUAGCAUGAUUUGCAUAAGUAAUAAAUCAACUAUAACAUGAAUGUACAUGGAUGUGUAAGACAUGCAUAAGCGUAGAAAUGCAACCAAUCCAAUGUCCUCAAUGCAAAGAUAGUAAAAAUGUCGUCGUUUACUAUUCUAGUCCAAGUCCACUUUAAUAGUUUUAAAGUUCACAUAGCAUGUUCUGUCACUAAGUCCCAAUCAUAUAAGACCCACCCGAAGGCUGUCUGGCCUGCGCCGUGCCUAAUGGCCCCGUGGUAGUCAACAUCCCCACUCUAGGGAUGAGCCUCCCCCACGGCGAUCCACUUCGGCGCCCAAUCCCGCACGGCGAGCAUGUGUCGCGAUGGCUAUCUCCGGAGUGCCGGCUUGUAGGGAGCGACCCUCACAAGCAUGUGCGAAUGAGCACAAAUGGCAAGCAAGCAAUGAUCUGUCUCAAGUACCAAGUCCUCAUGUCUAAAACAUGGAAUAUGUCAAGUACCACGAUGGCCUAUCUCUAUGUCGUCAUGUCUCUAACAUGGAAUAUAGCAGAUACGUAAUGGCCUAUCAAUAUGUCUCUAUGUUGCAGUUUAAAUGUUUACUAGUUCCAAGUGCCUCUUGAUGACCCUUUUUGCUACUAAGUUCAAACAUAGUAUAAUGUUUCCCAUACAUGAACAUAAGCUAAAUUAGCAUACUAGACGAGAAUCCCAUUCGUCCACAUGAACCCACCCCACAUGCAUGACAAUAACCUUGAUUACUCUACCAUCUAGAGUGAAAUUUAACUUACACAUAGGGCAUGCAUUUUAGGGGUUCUAAAUUUCACAUAAAUUCCAAUUAGCAUAGGAAAGCAUUUAAAAAUAAGUUACGAAUAGUUUAGAAUGCACAGGGGCCAUUUCGCCCCAUUUCCAUGAAGUCAAACCCACCGAUGACGACGAAACUCCUCGUUCGCUCCAACGAGGGUGUCCCCUAGUCUCCUAGUAUCCUAGAGGUAUAGAAACAUGUGUCAAACAAGGCUCACGAACAAAGCUAAGCUCAAACAUUAAGCUUCUCUAGCUAGGUUGGAGAAAACUCACCGAAAGCUAAAGAAUCUCUCUCGAUCUCAAAAAGGGAGUUAGAUUCCUUCAAAUCCAACCUAAAUCAAAGUUCUAAACCAAUCAAUUUGGUUCUAGAAGCUACAAAUCAAAAAUCCCCAUUUUUAGCCCUAAAACUCAAAAUCUAGGGUUUCAUCUAGUAGAAGAUAUUAAAACUUGAUCCAAAAGGGAGAUUUAGCUUACUAACCUCACAAGAUGCCCAAAACCAAGUUCUAAGCCAAGUGGAGUUGAAGUUUGAUCCUCCAACAAGCUCCAACCAAGAUCUCAACCUUCUCCAAUGGUGGAAAUCCCAAAAAAAGCAAGAAGGAGAAGAAAAGAGAGAUCAAAACCACUAAAAACCCACCAAAAAAAGAGAUCAAAUCAAGAGGGGAAGACUCACCUUGCUCUCCUCUGGUUAGGGCUCAAAAAGAGCAGCAAAGGGGCUGGGGUAGUUUAUAAAGAGUAUUGCAACAAUUGCAAAAAGACCCCUCCACGAAAUCUGCCCAGAGGCAUUGUGUACCGGUACACGGGAAAGUGUACCGGUACACUUCCUGCGAAACAGCCCAACCCGAGCCUCGGGUUGGCAGAAAAUCUAAUGUGUACCGGUACAACCAUCAAGUCGUACCGGUACAAAUUCUGUACCGGUACAACCAUCAAGGCUGUACCGGUACACAGCCUGGCUGAGGCUAAUCAGAGAGUACUCCAACAAUCCAACCUUUUGGGAUUUUGGUACAGGUUUAAACCCUCAAUUCUCAGGAUGCGAGCCAUAGAUCGGAACGCUGUCUACGAUCCUUCAGAAAGUCUGAGAUGGCUCGACACACAGAUCAAACACUCGAACCUCGCAAUUUGCAAAGGUCCAGUGUGCUACAUACUCUUUUCUUAUGACUUCGAUAUAAAUUUUGUUUUCCAUUGUAAUCACAUCCUCUCGAGAAGAUUCAGAUGUUCCAGAGCAAUUAGCCAAUUUGUCUUUAGCAUCAACCUAACAAUAAAUUUUGUUAACAAAUUUAUAGAAAGCAUCAAUUUAGACAAUAUGAGAGGACAAGUUUCCUUUAGCAUUUUAUGAUCAAAAGUAUAGAAAGCAUCAACUUACAAUAGCAAUACAAAGAAAGUUGUAACAACCUAUCAUUUAUUCAAGGGUUUUGGAAAGCUUUUAUAUUCCAUAAUUAUGAAAGAUAAAAAACCAUCAGCAACAUUCCCAUCGACUAUCCAAGAGCUCUAUAAUAUUUCAUGGUUAGGAAUUUAAAUUAAGAAAAUAACAAUGAUUUGACCUAUAGACUAAAAUGUUGCAUAGAACUAUACUAAAAGAAUCCAUUAACUUAGACAUGCUAUCUAGCUAGGUUAUAGACAUAUAGUAAAUAUAGAGUUGAAAGCUAACAAACAGAGUAGUAAAAUUACCAUUAAUUUUUUCGCAUUGUCACUUAUAAAUGAUCUAUUUUUUUUCGUGUGAGUUAGUUCGAACAUCUCAACAAGUCUAGGUACUCUGCCAGUUGUAUCUUCCUGCAAAUAUCAUAAUGUAGACAAGUAUAAGAAUGUUGCAAUAACAUAAGUUUUACAACAAUCAAUAAAAUAAAUAGUUACAAUUUCUUUCUCUUUUCGUGCAAAGCUUUUGGAUCCUGAUGUAUGUGUGUAUUUCUGUUUGGCUCGACUUUCUUUGUAAGGACCGAGAUUUUUGCAAUGUAGCUAAACUCUCAGUUGAUGAUGUUUUUGUGUGUAAUUUAAUUACAAAAGCACUCGUCAAGUUUCGGGAGAAACGAGUUAAAACGGAGAUUUUACGCGAUUUUCAAGUUUCACUUAAAGUGAAUAGUAACUCAGUUUUCCGGAGAAGACACGGUGCGAAGUUGGCUUCUAGUGCGUAUCGGACUCCGUUCAUAGCAGUCCAAUAGCUCGUUUCGACCGGUUCAGCUAUUCUAGAACUGAUGACGCUGACGGAUUUUGAGUUUGAUGCACGGAUUUUGAGAAAAUCUAAAAAUACGUGUUUUAUAUGUAUUUGUGCGUAGUUCUUCUGUUGGAGAGAUGGAUCGGAUUUCGUUGCGAAUCCGCGAUGGAUCGAGGCGAAACGAAAUUGUAGCUUUGUUGUCUCUAUUGUACUGAUCACACUGGUACGAUCCGUUCGCAAAUCUGACGGACGGAUCUACGGAGAUUGUGCAUUGAUCGAGGAGAGGUUGGUGAUGGCAAAACGGUAUUUUCGUAAAAAGUGCGACAUUUUAUGUACCGUUUUACGUGAGAUCGCACGUGGAGGGGUAUUCUCGCGUUUUACACGCGCUGUAAGGGACUUAGUACCAAAUACUGAAGUUUGAGGGGCUUUUUCGCAAUUUGCACCUUAUAUAUAUAUAGUGUAUCUAGGGUUUUCUACCUUGAAAUCCUAACCCUAGACCCUAGCCGCACCUUGCCAUCUUCUACUCCCUCCUCUGACUGCACAGUGCGCUCCCCAGCCGCCGGCGCACGCUGCCGGUCGCCGAAGAAUGAGGUUCCAUCUCCCUCUCCAUCUCUCUCUCCAUCUCUCUCUCUUUUCUUCUCGGGUUGGAGCCCUAGUCGAGGCUGCAUUGCCUCCCUAUUCCCUGCCGGCGUCGCCCUGACCCUAUCGGAGCUUCCCCCGACCAGUCGCUGCCGCCUGCCGCCGUCGCCUGCGCCGCCGCUGCUGGUUCUGCAAUCUGCGGCCGCCCCAGCCCGAGCUCGGGCUGAGGCUUGUGUGCGGCCUCCCCCUUGCGUCGCCGCCGCCCCGGACCAACCGUGAGGCACCUCCCCGACCUCAGGCCGUCGGCCGCUGCCGCCCCGAGCCGCCCAGUGCGCCGCCGCCGCCACCUCGGCCAGCCCUCAGCCGUCCCUGUCUGCUCGGGCCGAGGCAAGCCUGCGGCUUCCUCCUCGCGCCACUGCCGCCUGGGACCACCCGUUCCGCCUGCUGCCGACCUUGGGUGAUCCUCCUCCGCCGUCUCGGAGCUCCCCGGCCGCCGCCGUGGCCGCUUGUACCCGCGAAACCCGAGCUUUAGCUCGUGCGGGCUCAAGUCUCUCCGCCGUCACCGCCGCCGCUUCUCGCCGCCAACUGAGGUGAGCAUCGUGUUCCUCACCUCCCCCACAUCCAUCCCUGACCCGCACGCAUGCCGCAAUGCCGCCGGAAGCCGGCCGGAGAGGGCUUGCUCCGGCCAAGCCCGAAAUAGGGCUUAUUUGAGUGGGUUUAUUGUUCUGAGCUUCUUGAGCUUCCCUGAUCUCUGCGGAAGGGAGCACGAUGAUUGUAGCAAAUUGCUGAUCAUCGUGCUCACCUUAAAUUCUGUCGGGGAGACUCCGUUCCGCUGUUUCUGCGGUGUCGACCCGAUUGAGCCUUUUCGAUUGAUGUUCCAUGCUUGCGCGCGUUUUUUCGGCGAUCCGAGGCUGUUCCGAUGCCUCCGGAGGUGAGCACGGUGAUCGAUGGUUAGUGCUGAUCACAGUGCUCACCUCACUUUGGAUCAACAUUGUCCGGUUAGCCCUGUUUGGCGCGAUCUUCCCCGACUGCGCGCUGUUCACAGAACUUCGGGUUGCUCCCGUGCCUCCUACAGUGAGCCGAUGUGCUCCGGACUAUGAGCAUGGCCUCCGGCACAUCGAGACAUGUCAAUACAUGUCUCGGUGGAACUUAGAAGUCCUCGGUUUGCGUGAACGAGCUAUUUUAUUGCCCGAUUUACAUAAAAUAUUGGGGAAGAAGGUAACUCGUGACACGAGUCGGUGAGUUUCGGGACACUUAGUGAGUCCCGACGACGUCCCAGUGUGGUUUUCGGGACUUCCGGCGAGUUACGGUAUUCGAUAUCCGAUCUUCGUGAAAUUGUUUGUGGGGUUGUGGUUACUGUGGUUCUUAGUGGUGGGUUAGAUACUAACCCGGUGGACCCUCUAUAGGUCCUGUCGACAUUCUUUUGCAGUCAGGAGACAAACGCGACAUCCUUACAGGUGGGUACUUCGAUCCGACGUCGGUACAAUGGUGCACGCUUGGUGAUGGUUUCUUACCCUUACUCUUCUGUUGUUACUAUCGCAUAGUAUAUUGAGCCUUGCACCCUUGUUUAUUCGUUAUACUCUACUCGUUGUUUGCAUGCUUAGUAUCCUGAGUAUGAGUAGAGUAGUUCUAUCUACAUGCAUAUCUGUUGACCUAGUUGGUCUGUUGUCGCAUUCCGUAUUCUUUGACCUAGUUGGUCGAUUGUUGCAUUCCGUAUCUGUUGAUCUAGUUGGUUGGUUGUGCAUUCCGUAUCUGUUGACCUGGUUGGUCAGUUCUCGUACUUCGUAUCAGGGACCUUGUUGGUCAGUUGGACUCUGUGGACCUUGGGUCGAGGCAACACAUCGACUCUCUUGUCAUGUGUUUUGAUCUGGUUGAUCGUGGUUUAGCGUUGUACGCCCUUGUUUCUGGCUUCGGCCUAGGCACCGGCUUCAGUCGGGUUUUGUAUUGAGCAUACCAGCAUGACUUAGUCACAGCACUUGGGGGUGUUCACGACACCGGGUCGGUUUGGCCACCGACCGGAGGUGUGCUUAUCCGGAUGGAUCGUCCUGUGGGGCAGGUGAAUCAGGUCGGUGCAGGUUAGUGAUAGGCAGCGCUUGAGGUAUGCGGACCAAUAUAGCAGGUACCAGAUUGGGUAUAUUUGGACUUCUUGUCCGGUUGACGCAUAUGACUAUAGUAGCGGUUGUUGCAUGUAUACUUACCGUUCCUUCUUUACAGUUGUCUUACUACUAUAGUUUUGUUGCAUAUAUACAUUCAGUUGUUCAUUACAGUAGCAGUAGUUGUACUUCUUUCAUAUAUAUGUCUCUUUCAUUCAUUAUUAUUGCUACUGUAUUUCUACUGACCCGUACUGUUGUUUAGCUCUUCCUAAUCCGGUGAGUACUCUUCGCCUUCAUCGGCUUGCGGUACCCACUGGGAGGGAAGACAUGUUUACAUGUUCUCACCUUCCCCACCAUUUUUCAGGUAUUGCGGGCGGUGAGAGUCGAGACGAGAUGUGAGACACGUUCGUAGCGGUCGAUAGAGCUUCCGACCCAGGUUAUUCGGUUUAGUUUUUACCCUUACUAUUAUGUUGAUAUAGCUCAGAUAGUUUAUAUGGUUCAGUAUUUUUAUUACAUUUGAAAAUGUGGGUUUUCAUGAAUGUAAUAAAGGGAUUUGUGAAAUUUAUGAAAAGAAAAAUAGUUUUCUACCCCUCGUGAUAGCGCGUUUUAAAAGAAAAGGUUUCCGUAUGGGGAACAGCUUUCAAAAGAGUUUUCUUAUGGUUUUUAUGUUUAAACACUAAAUAAUAAAUAUUUGGUGAAUGGUGAAUGAAUGUUGUGUAUUGUAUAUUCAUGUAGUGUGGUUGUAUCUUGGUUAUACUCUGUUUGAAAAUUUUGUACUUGUGCGACGCCGUGCAAAUACAGGGGAGACUCUGUCCGUGUGAACAGUGAACUCCCUGUAUUUGUGGCGGGUCUGGCAUACCCUGGGGUCAGGUUUUCAAAAAAAAAAAAAAAUUUCCGCUAUGUUUUAACCUAAAAGGGACCCCGGGGCGUGACAUUCUUUGGCUAACUUCUCUCGUUUCUCCCAUUUAAAAGAUAAUAAAAAAUUAGUCAACAGUACAUCCAUACUAGAAAUUUCAUAGUAAUUAAAGGAAAAAAGCAUAGUAAUGCCAUAUUUGGUCAAUAAUACUUACUCUACCAAUCAAGUAUUCCUCCACACCACCACAUACAACAUCAUAGCAACAAACCAUUACAUAAGAAAUAGGGCUUACUUGUGAAGCUAGGAACAAGGAUGCAAACUAUUCUCGUAUUUCUACCACCCAUGCAUGAGACACUUGUAAUGAUUGAAAUGAAAAAUAAUUGAACCUUGAUAAAGAAAGAACUAAAAAUUAAUGAGCUUAUAUUGGACUUGGUUACAUGGAAAGUGCGUUCGACGAUUGCAGCAUUGACCAAGGAUCCGAGGAAAGCAAGGGCAAAAGCUAGCAUGAACAUAUAGUGUGUCAUGUUUAAGAUUUGAAACAAUAGAACUAAUUGAUAUAGAAAAGAUAAAUGAAGAAGAUGAUGACUUCUUUCUUAGAUAAUUGUAUCUUGGUGUGGCACAAACCAUUAGUUAUCUUUAUAUAGAUCCUUGAAAUGCAUACUGAUAAGGAAACAAUAAGAUAUAUAAACAACGCAUAAAGAAGUAGUUGAUCACAUUUUCGGCAUUUAGAAUCAUUAGAUACCGAACUGAUUUGAAAUUCCAAACUAAUUAAUAAUUUUGACCAUUCUUCAAAGGUGUAUUUAUCUAACAAACAUAGGGAGUAAUAUACGCAAAAGAUCGUAAAACCUCUCUUAGUAACACCUCCACCCAUCCUUUAUUCCUGCGAAGCCACCAUUAGUUUAAAAACCCAAAAAAGCAAACCCCACACAAAACUACAACUUCACUAUCAGUUAAGUAACCAACAUGCACCGAUAGUAGAUAGUAGAAGCAGUAGUAGUAGCUAAAUAUCCUUUGUUAUUCUCAUCUGUUUUUCUUCAUGUACGUUCAACGUGCAUGUGUUAAAAGUAUCUGGUUGGUAGUAGAUAGUAGAAGUAGUAGUAAUAGCUGUAACUUAAUUAAUUGCUGAAACCAUUAGUAGUAGUAGUAGUAGUAGUAGAACUAUAGUAGUAGGUACUAAGAGGGCCUAUUUUAUAAUAUUUUUCCUGCCACAGAACAUAAUAAUAAGCANAUCUUUUUUUUCCUAAUAUUUUUCCUGCCACAGAACAUAAUAAUAAGCAUCAUUAGAGCUCUCAUAGCUAGGUUAUCAUUUGAUUGAGAGAAUGAGAAAAAAAACACAAAAACAAAAACAAAAAACAAACUAAUGGUGCUGUUAUUUCCAAGUAGAGAUUACAAUGUCUUUUUCGUGUGGAUUCGAUAGAUUGUUAUUUCCUACUAAUUCCAUCGUGCCUUUGGACUAAUUUAUUAAGUAGGUAAAUCUCCUUGUAAGUAGCCUAUGGUACGUAAUCAUGUGAAUUUUAUUUGGUCCUUGAGGUAAUAGCAAAUUAAUUGAAAACGUAUUAAGAAAAGAAAUUAUCUGAAAUGGAUUGUGAAUUUACUAUUCUCCUUUUUCUUUGUCUUCUUCUCUCUCAUACAUCGAUCAUUAAAAGUCAACCAGAGUAUAGAAAGCAUUAUCUAGAAAUAAAGCAUUGACACCAUUACAUGACAAAAAUAAAUCAUACCUUGGCAACAUCAGAGUAUAAAAAGUCAACCAGGCUCAACCAUUGCUGCUUUGCUACACCAGGAGGCACAUUCUUACUAAUCUCUUCUUUUGGUUUUAUUCGGUCAAAAUGCUUGGCCUUCAAUUCAACUUUGUAGUCUUUCCAUUUCUUGUUUAAAGAUCUCAUGACAAAGGCUCACCCUUUCUUUGAUUGAAAUUGAAAUUUUGACUGCAAUGAAAAUAUACACAAAAUUAAAAAAUAUAUAUAUAAUAAGAUGGUUAUAUAAACAUAUGUAAACAGUGUAAAAUGUGUCAAAUACCAUGGCAAAAGACAAAGCUUCAUUUUUUAGUGAAUUGGCAUUCGUCUCCAAUUAAUAUAGUUUAGAGGGCAGAAUUGACCAUUUCGUGCAACUAUUCUGCAAAAACCAACGAGCAACCUUGCCUCCUUAUUUAUGGGUUUCCCUCUUUUGUUAAAUCGAACUUGAAUACGCCAAUUCUCAUCCAUUUCCCAUAUCUCCUUUAAUGUUGUACGACCUCUCUUUCUUUCUCUUUUUCCAUCGUCAUGACUACAAAAAAGUCAAUGCUAUAAUUAGACUUUAAUUACAUAUAGCUUAGCUUGAUAGAAAUAGUGUCAUCAAAGUAAAAUGACCCACAAAAAGAAAGAUAUAAGAUAAUACAAAAAUUCUAGGGAGAAGAAUCUAUGAAAAUCCUGCAAAGGCAUAUUGUAUUCCAAUCAACAGCAUAUGAACCGUUGCAUUCCAAUCAACAGUUUCAUUAUUUCAGACCUAAAACUCCUUAACAAGUAUCCUAAUCGAGAAUCUGAUUUUUAUUAUUCUGAUGUUGUGUCAAAGAUAACUUAUAGUAGACAACUAGAGAUAGAAAAUCACUCAAAACUGUUCAUACUGGUCCACACAUUCACAUUACCGAAAAGAAACCAUUUCCAUUUAAUUAGGAGCAAAAUAUCAAUUGUUUUCAACUAGGAGAUCAUGAAGCGAUCUCAGUAUUCAGGAAAGUAGGUGUUAACACACUUGUAAGGUACCGGACUUUUAAAACUACGAAGUUACGGUGUACAUUUAAAUGGUUCCGGUGAGGUUGCGAUGGAAUGUAACAUACCGGAUUUUGAGUAUAAAGGUGAAAAUAAAUAAAAAUAGUAUGAGAUACUAUUUUAUUGGGUUUAGAGAAGUGAAAUAUAGAUUGGAAAUGACCUGUGCUGAAAUCGGAGCGAAAACAGAAGAUUUAGAAUUUUCUGUGAGAAACGGGGCAGAUAAAUUAGCAGAAAAUGCACAGUGUCAGAAAAUUAUGAAAACUGUAGGAUAUGUCAGAAAUAUUUUUAUGAGGCUAGAUUUAAAGUUUCAUACCAUUCUGACACCCGUAGAGUGAGAAAUCAAAUCCGACAGUUAUCUGAUUAAGAUUACAGUUCGGCACAGUUUUCGGUGACCAAACGGGGUCGAAACUGAGAACUUAAGAUAUAUCCUUACUCAGCACGUUAAACUGAGCCUGCCUGUCAAAUUUGAGCUCAAACGGACAUUCAGAAGGGCUCCAACGAAACUUAUCAGAUUAGGGACUAAACUGGAAGGUUGAAUAGUUGAGGGGCUAACUUGUAAAAAGGGAUUAAAUCCCUUU